Molecule: long non-coding RNA, 353 nt
Filed under: Gallus gallus (chicken)
Lineage: Eukaryota; Metazoa; Chordata; Aves; Galliformes; Phasianidae
Description: lncRNA (ENSGALG00010018373.1)
Source: RNAcentral
CUCAAAGAGAAGUGUGCCACAGACUUAAGACUCGGUUACCUCUCCCCCAACAGCUGGCAGCACCCACACCUCACUGGGCUGCUGGAGCACAUUCAGGACAUUCAGAUGGAGAUCCAACACUAAGCUUCUCAGGGCAAAGACUGAAAGAAACAUGGCAAUAGAGGCCGGGCUGCACAUGAGCAGGGUGAGGAUGUCAGCUGCCAGUCACACCAUGCCUCAAAUGGAGGCAGAACAUACCGUCUUCUGGCUGUGAAGAAACCUAAGAGAUGAAGCUGUUGCUGAGGUGAGGAAUUAACUUCUUGAAGUUUCCUGCCUUCCACCAAAGACUCAUUUCACGUUGGACAAAGUCCCUC